This 253-nucleotide ribosomal RNA is filed under the name uncultured bacterium. RNAcentral's name for it is "partial 16S ribosomal RNA". It matches the Rfam family "Bacterial small subunit ribosomal RNA", at positions 524 to 776 of the family's 1533-position model. The record is from RNAcentral.
UACGGGGGGGGCAAGCGUUGUUCGGAAUUACCGGGCGUAAAGGGCUCGUAGGCGGCCAACUAAGUCAGAUGUGAAAUCCCCAGGCUUAACCUGGGAACUGCAUCUGAUACUGGAUGGCUUGAAUCCGGGAGGGGGAUGCAGAAUUCCAGGUGUAGCGGUGAAAUGCGUAGAUAUCUGGAGGAAUACCGGUGGCGAAGGCGGCAUCCUGGACCGGCAUUGACGCUGAGGAGCGAAAGCUAGGGGAGCAAACGGG